GAUGAAGAACGUAGUGAAAUGCGAUAAGUAAUGUGAAUUGCAGAAUUCAGUGAAUCAUCGAAUCUUUGAACGCACAUUGCGCCCGCCAGUAUUCUGGCGGGCAUGCCUGUUCGAGCGUCAUUUCAACCAUCAAGCCCCCGGCUUGUGUUGGGGACCUGCGGCUGCCGCAGGCCCUGACAACCAGUGGCGGGCUCGCUAGUCACUCCGAGCGUAGUAAUACAUCUCGCUCAGGGCGUGCUGCGGGUUCCGGCCGUUAAAAAGCCUUAUUUACCCAAGGUUGACCUCGGAUCAGGUAGGAAGACCCGCUGAACUUAAGCAUAUCAAUAAGCGGAGGA
Molecule: unclassified non-coding RNA, 335 nt
Filed under: soil metagenome
Description: partial contains 5.8S ribosomal RNA, internal transcribed spacer 2, and large subunit ribosomal RNA
Rfam family: 5.8S ribosomal RNA (bases 1-120)
Source: RNAcentral